GCCGGGGUGGUGGAAUGGUAGACACGCUGUCUUGAGGGGGCAGUAAGCGUAAGCUUGUAGGAGUUCAAAUCUCCUCCCCGGCACCA
Molecule: transfer RNA, 86 nt
Filed under: Dehalococcoidia bacterium
Lineage: Bacteria; Bacillati; Chloroflexota; Dehalococcoidia
Description: tRNA-Leu
Rfam family: tRNA
About the family: Transfer RNA (tRNA) molecules are approximately 80 nucleotides in length. Their secondary structure includes four short double-helical elements and three loops (D, anti-codon, and T loops).
Source: RNAcentral